UUACCUCGCAAACUACCCAAAAGACCUGCGGCCCAACACGCAGGCCGAACCGUCGUAUUUGGGUAUUUCUUCCCAAAACGUCAACGGCCUGCGCUCCCCCUUGGUUCCUGCUUGGUGAUUGCACAGCUCCUUCCUGCCAAAGCUUCUCUUCGUACACCCAGGACCAGGGCUGGGGUCACGUGACAGCUCCUGUCUCCUGAUGCUGGGCGGUGGCAAGUGCUCGCAGCGGUUACUAACAGAUAAGAAGAAACACUCACGUGGGACCUGUACAGAAAUGCUGGAACAGAAACAGAAUGAAGCAGAAGAUGUAUAUUAAGAUGAAAAGCACACUUCAGAACAAACUUUUACAUAAUUGCUUUGACUCUCAAAGAGACUAAAGAAAUUAUGAGCUCUUCAAAACAAGAAAAGACCAUGUCAGAUAACCCUAACUCUAUCUCUGACCCAUCAUAUAAUAUUGAC
Long non-coding RNA from Canis lupus familiaris (dog), 459 nucleotides. RefSeq lists it as uncharacterized. Lineage: Eukaryota; Metazoa; Chordata; Mammalia; Carnivora; Canidae. The record is from RefSeq and is a predicted model, not a curated record. The transcript has 3 exons.